RNAcentral lists this non-coding RNA (113 nucleotides) under uncultured Arthrobacter sp. RNAcentral's name for it is "S-adenosyl methionine (SAM) riboswitch". It matches the Rfam family "SAM (S-adenosyl methionine) riboswitch aptamer". From Rfam's summary of the family: SAM-IV is a mRNA element that regulates gene expression via direct sensing of S-adenosylmethionine (SAM or AdoMet). SAM-IV riboswitches share conserved nucleotide positions with the previously described SAM-I riboswitches sequence analysis and molecular recognition experiments suggest that SAM-I and SAM-IV riboswitches share similar ligand binding sites, but have different scaffolds. The record is from RNAcentral. Lineage: Bacteria; Bacillati; Actinomycetota; Actinomycetes; Micrococcales; Micrococcaceae.
UCAAGAGUUCCAGCCAUCGGCCCUGGCCGGCUGGACAGCAACCCUCUCGUCGUAGCGGGGUGCUCCAGGUGAAGAUUCGGCCUUGGCGGAAACCCUCCGCAGGGCAAGUACGG